Long non-coding RNA from Poecilia latipinna (sailfin molly), 356 nucleotides. RefSeq lists it as uncharacterized. Lineage: Eukaryota; Metazoa; Chordata; Actinopteri; Cyprinodontiformes; Poeciliidae. The record is from RefSeq and is a predicted model, not a curated record. The transcript is spliced from 2 exons.
CAUUGAUUCAAUGUUGUUUCAAUCAUUCUGUGCUAUCUGGGUACAAACAAGCUGUGAACUAAAAGAUGCCGGCUUUUUUCUUUGCUUCGGAUUUCAAUAUUCAGCGGCAGCUCGAUGGAGCCAUGAGGAAUGAGUCGUUUUGUCACCAUAGUGGAGCGAAUGGAAAGCCUCGUUAGCCGCUUCGGAGGGUAAACACCGACUCAGGCAGCUGAUGCCGCUGCUGCUCCCAACCAGAAGGAGAGCAACAUGGCUGACAUGAUGGAGAACCGUCAGAACACCUGGAUCUCCUUCAGGAGGAAGCAGCUACCAGCAGAGAUGGCAGAGCUCCAUGGAGAAUUGAGACAAACAAAAGAAAA